CAAAAAACAGGGGGAGGUCCUUGUACUACGGGCCUCACCUCCCUUCGUGCACACACUUAUUAUUUACCUUCAUUCUUCCCUCUAUACACACAUUGCUGAUGUAAAAUUUCCCAUGCAACUUCCUUGAGAAAAUUCUUGUAGAAAAUGUAGAAAACUUGCUUGUAAAGAGUACGGAUUUAGAUUUCAUAUCAGGAAAAUGAUUCAGUGUCAGCAUGAUUGUGUAAAUACCUAGAUCCUUAGGGUUUUAUUGUACUUUAGAUGCUAAAUGGCACAGAUAUACACAGUAAUAUACGCUAUUUGAUAUGUGGU
This 309-nucleotide unclassified non-coding RNA is filed under the name Hevea brasiliensis (rubber tree). Lineage: Eukaryota; Viridiplantae; Streptophyta; Magnoliopsida; Malpighiales; Euphorbiaceae. The record is from RNAcentral.